This 440-nucleotide long non-coding RNA is filed under the name Setaria viridis. RNAcentral's name for it is "long non-coding RNA (SVIR_LNC007616)". The record is from RNAcentral. Lineage: Eukaryota; Viridiplantae; Streptophyta; Magnoliopsida; Poales; Poaceae.
GACAACCUCAUCAAAAACAGCUCAACACCAAGAAAAAAUAAGGUGCGUGAGAACUUUCCACUUACCUCGCCACAUUACGAGGGCGGCGGGCGCGCUUCGACCCCGAGCUUGACUCCGACCCCGAGACAUCCGAUAGAGGCCGCUUUCCGCUACCCCUCUGCUCGUGCGACACAAGCAGAGGGUCGGGGGUUGGUCCCGUCAAUUCCUGAGGCGCGCCCCUCGCCGACCCCUGGGGUGCGGCCUCCGAGCCCAACGGGGUCAGACCCUGGGCGGGCGGUCCACUCGAACUGUCCCUCACGACCGGCUAAGUGGUCCCGGAUGACAAGUGCUCCCGGCACGGAGGCCAGGACAUAAUCCUCCUCCUCCUCCUCCUCCUCGGUCUCGUCUUCAUCGUUGUCAUCAUCAUCGUUGUCGUCGUCGUCCGACAGGACCGCGCCCCU